AGUGGCGGACGGGUGAGUAACACGUAAGAAUUUGCCUUUAGGAGGGGGACAACAACUGGAAACGGUUGCUAAUACCCCAUAUGCUUUCGAGUGAAAUGGAUUUUUCCGCCUAAAGAGAAGCUUGCGGCUGAUUAGCUUGUUGGUGAGGUAAUGGCUCACCAAGGCGACGAUCAGUAUCUGGUUUGAGAGGAUGAUCAGACACACUGGAACUGAGACACGGUCCAGACUCCUACGGGAGGCAGCAGUGGGGAAUUUUCCGCAAUGGGCGAAAGCCUGACGGAGCAAUCUCGCGUGAGGGAUGACGGCCUAUGGGUUGUAAACCUCUUUUUUCAGGGAGGAACAAAAUGACGUGUACCUGAAGAAUAAGCAUCGGCUAACUCCGUGCCAGCAGCCGCGGUAAGACGGAGGAUGCAAGUGUUAUCCGGAAUCACUGGGCGUAAAGCGUCUGUAGGUGGUUUAAUAAGUCAACUGUUAAAUCUUGAAGCUCAACUUCAAAAUCGCAGUCGAAACUAUUAGACUAGAGUAUAGUAGGGGUAAAGGGAAUUUCCAGUGGAGCGGUGAAAUGCGUAGAUAUUGGAAAGAACACCGAUGGCGAAGGCACUUUACUGGGCUAUUACUGACACUCAGAGACGAAAGCUAGGGUAGCAAAUGGGAUUAGAUACCCCAGUAGUCCUAGCCGUAAACAAUGGAUACUAGAUGU
This 700-nucleotide ribosomal RNA is filed under the name uncultured bacterium. RNAcentral's name for it is "bacterial SSU rRNA". It matches the Rfam family "Bacterial small subunit ribosomal RNA", at positions 94 to 823 of the family's 1533-position model. The record is from RNAcentral.